AGCAGCAGCUGGCUUUUGCAGGAAGGCCCAGGGGAGCAAUGCAAAUCUCUUUAGAAAUAUAGUGGGCUGAUUCUCUUGAGGGGUGAACUCUGAGAAAUCACAGGGAGACACACUGAAUCCCCUGAGACUCCCCUUCUGUGUGUACAAAAACCCUGUUGCUGGAAAUGGCCUUUCGGAAGCCGACAAGGGGCUGAGUGGAUGGCGCCCAGCCAGGCUGAACGGAGGACUCAUGCGGCCAGGGACGGAGAAAUUUUCCUUUUGCUGCCCAUGGGCCUCAGGUACAAAGAGUUGAGUUAAUUAUGUUUCUUGGCUCGAUGGAUACCUCCCUCCCCAGCAAAACCUAACCAUCUCACCAAUGCCUCCUGAGUGGGGUUAUUUACGGUUGUGACAAAACACACAUGUGCAUUUUAAAGUUAACUCAUAUUUAUAAAACUGUGCCAGAAUACAGCUCUUAUUCCAUUGUGAGAGUUCCGUCUUAAUCUUGUCAGCCUAAAUCAAGGCAAGCUCAAAUGACGAGACAUUUAUUCUGGGAUGGUAGAGGAAUUGCAAUUAAGGAAAUACUCAUCACAGUAAGCUGCAGGUGAGUCUGUUGAGGGCGUGGGGUGGGCUGUACAGACAGGCAAGGAACACAAAGGGGGAGGCCCAGCCAGAGUGCAAGCAGUAAGGUGACUAGCUUGAGGAUGCGGAGGGCGUCUUGGUGGAUGUUCACUGGUCAGGAGUUACAAUUCAGACUUGGCUCAUACCUUCCUCAUGCAUUGUGUUACGAAGAGAAGAGUCAUCUGGGAUUCACAAGGUUCACCCAAAAGACUUUCAGGCUCAUCCUCCCUCCCUGUUCUCACACCUCGUGGCGAUGGAAUGGAUGUAUUUUUAAAAGGUAGAGUGUCAGAGUGGAGUUGACUGGACACUCCAGCUGGUUUGAAGAAUUACCUACUGGCAUACGGAGCCUUUCAGCCUCCGCAAUGGGCAUUGGAUGUGGAAAAUUUAGUAGUCAAGGGCGGCACCUUUCUAUCAAGCUGGGGACCCAACCAAGCACCCACAGAACCACAGGUGGAAGGACACAAAAGACAAGAAGUUCCGCAGAGGAUCUCCCCUCUCAAGGCUGAAAUGUUGGAGAAUUUUAUUCAGGAUUUGCUCACCUGGGGUCUCUCUGUCACAUUUUGUUAAUUCCCGCAGUAGCUGAAAACCCUCCACCAGCAUAAAGAUUAUAACUCACUGAAGGGUAAGAUAAUGGUUAGCAUUUUUUAGCCAUGAGGUAUUUUUAAAUGAAGGUAUGUACAUUUUCUUAGAUAAAAUGCUAUUGCACACUUAAUAGACUACACUAGUGUGUAAACAUAAAUUUGGGGGGAACCAAAAAACUCGUGUGACUUGCUUUCUUGCGAAAAGCAAUUUAUUGCCGUGGUCUGGAACAGAAACCACAGUAUCCCUGAGGUAUGCCUGUAUACGUGCGUGUGUCAAGAGAAUGAUAUUUAUUUUAAGGAAUUGGCUCCUGGCGAUUUGGGGGGUUGGCGAGUCCAAAGUAUGUAGGACAGACUCAGGCAGGAAUUAGUGUUACAGUCUUGAGCUAGAAUUUCUUCUCCAGGAAGCUCCGUUUUUGCUCUUAAGGCCUUUCAACUGGUUGCAUGAGGCCCGCCCACCCCACGUUCUUGGAGGUAAUCUGCUUAAGGACAACUGAUUAUAGAUGUUAAUCACAUCUACAAAAUACCUUCACAGCCACACCUCGAGUAUUAAAUAACUAGAGCCCUGCCAAGUUGGCCCAUAAAAUUACCUUGUACCUUGGAACUCUUUAAAGAACAGCUUCCACUUAGGCCUAAUGAGCAAAAUAGAACAAAGCAGAAAUGCUCUGGCUAAUUUAGAAUUGGGGGUCCUGCAGCCGGCCUCUCAUUCCUCAGGCUCCUGGCCAGUCUCAGCUCUGCCUCCUCCCCCAAGGGAGCUCUAAGAAACAUAGUUUCAAACACCUGGCCUUAUAUUUCUAAGGAACAUAGUUUCAAAAACCUGUAAAAUAAAGAUAGUAAUACUUGACUGGGGAUUACAUUAGAUCACCUGAGUAAAAGCUUUUAGUGCAAUGUCUGGCAUAUUCAUAGGAAUUUUAUACAUAUUAGCAGCUUCUACUAUUCUCAAUCAGAACAGUUGAAAAAUAACUUUUCUUGCAAAGAAGGGAAUGCUUGAAAUAUUUUGGUUUAGGCCUUGGUGUGUCACAGUGAAUUCCUAUGGAGUCCUUCAGCCUCUCUACUCUUGCUGCUUCCCUGGUGCCCAGGUGAAACAGCUUCUUAUCCCUGGCACCAGCUGAGCUUCUGCAUGGACGAUGUCUUUGUGGUCCCAGCACUGGGACAAGCUGUCAGAUCUGAGGGGGUCUUUGUUCUCCUUACUGCCUCUUGACCAAGGGCAUAACUGGGGUUUAUCUCACCUGGCAGCUGGAGAGAGUAAACACCAGAUCUUCCUUAACUUCAACUGCAAAGAAAUAGCAUGAUGUCAACUUUGCAAUUUUCUGUUAUGUGAAAACAAACAACAGUGCUCUCGAUUCUUAGAAAUUAGAAUUUGAAAAGCAAAAGAAGUUGCUUUCUAUAAGGCUCACUUUGCCUACAAAUAAUUUAAUAGAGGAGGGGACACAAAUGUGUUUAAGGGAACAAAAGUCUGAUGUUUAUAAGGGGCCUUGAGCACCUAGGAGUUUAAAAAGCAGUGUGGAACAACAGAGAAUUUUCUUUCUCAAACUAUGGGCUAAUUACAUUACGAGAUUGUAUUUCAACAGCAUGGGUUUUAGAAAAUCACCCCGGACUUUGGAAAAAAAGUCUGCUCAUUUCAGUAACACAUGAAGAUAAUAUACCUCCUUUAAUUUCUCUGACAAUUGGUAUUUAUGCGGCGUGGGAUAGAAGCGCCUCUAGCUCAUUGCACUACAGCUGUAUUGACUCUUAUGAUAAGAAAAGCAGUGGAAAAAAAAGUCUGCUCUUUUAGUAAAGUGGCAAAUAUAACUUGAAAACAAAUGUAACUUGAAAGUUCCUUUGAGUGUGACUUUGCUAGUUUCCUGAUGACAGCCUUAGUUUACAUCAAGUGGCUUAAGACAAUUUCCAUUCAAUAUAACGGACAUUUCUUAUCUAUAUUUAAUGUUAAUUAUUGCUAUAGUUAAGGCCGAAAAAAGGCAGCGUAGGAGUUCCCCUUGUGGCUCAGAGGGUUAAGAACCCAACUAGCAUCCAUGAGGCCUCGCUCAGUGGGUUAAAGAUCUGGCAUUGCUAUGAGCUACGGUGUAGGUCACAGA
Molecule: non-coding RNA, 3250 nt
Organism: Sus scrofa (pig)
Lineage: Eukaryota; Metazoa; Chordata; Mammalia; Artiodactyla; Suidae
Source: RefSeq, a predicted model, not a curated record